Molecule: non-coding RNA, 28 nt
Filed under: Homo sapiens (human)
Lineage: Eukaryota; Metazoa; Chordata; Mammalia; Primates; Hominidae
Source: RNAcentral
UCAUGAGAGAGACUCUUAGGAACAUGGU